GGCGUUUCUCGGGUGAUGCACCAUGGAAUCAGGCUCCCUCCUCUCUGGUUCUGGGUGCAACACCCGAGAACAGCA
Non-coding RNA from Myotis davidii, 75 nucleotides. The record is from Rfam. NCBI's taxonomy places the organism in Eukaryota, Metazoa, Chordata, Mammalia, Chiroptera, Vespertilionidae.